GAUCCUGGCUCAGGAUGAACGCUAGCUACAGGCUUAACACAUGCAAGUCGAGGGGCAGCAUUUUAGUUUGCUUGCAAACUAAAGAUGGCGACCGGCGCACGGGUGAGUAACACGUAUCCAACCUGCCGAUAACUCGUGGGAUAGCCUUUACGAAAGAAGAUUAACUACCGGAUGGCAUAGGAUUAUCGCAUGAUAAUCCUAUUAAAGAAUUUCGUUAUCGAUGGGGAUGCGUUCCAUUAGGUUAGG
RNAcentral lists this ribosomal RNA (246 nucleotides) under uncultured bacterium. RNAcentral describes it as "partial 16S ribosomal RNA". It matches the Rfam family "Bacterial small subunit ribosomal RNA", at positions 15 to 250 of the family's 1533-position model. The record is from RNAcentral.